Molecule: ribosomal RNA, 253 nt
Filed under: uncultured bacterium
Lineage: Bacteria
Description: partial 16S ribosomal RNA
Rfam family: Bacterial small subunit ribosomal RNA
Source: RNAcentral
UACGUAGGUGGCAAGCGUUGUCCGGAAUUAUUGGGCGUAAAGAGCUCGUAGGCGGUCUGUCGCGUCGGCUGUGAAAACUCGGGGCUCAACUCCGAGCUUGCAGUCGAUACGGGCUAGCUAGAGUGUGGUAGGGGAGAUCGGAAUUCCUGGUGUAGCGGUGAAAUGCGCAGAUAUCAGGAGGAACACCGGUGGCGAAGGCGGAUCUCUGGGCCAUUACUGACGCUGAGGAGCGAAAGCGUGGGGAGCGAACAGG